CCUACGGGAGGCUGCAGUGGGGAAUAUUGGACAAUGGGGGAAACCCUGAUCCAGCGACGCCGCGUGAGUGAAGAAGUAUUUCGGUACGUAAAGCUCUAUCAGCAGGAAAGAAAAUGACGGUACCUGACUAAGAAGCCCCGGCUAACUACGUGCCAGCAGCCGCGGUAAUACGUAGGGGGCAAGCGUUAUCCGGAUUUACUGGGUGGAAAGGGAGCGUAGACGGCAGCGCAAGUCUGGAGUGAAAUGCCGGGGCCCAACCCCGGAACUGCUCUGGAAACUGUGAAGCUGGAGUGCAGGAGAGGUAAGCGGAAUUCCUGGUGUAGCGGUGAAAUGCGUAGAUAUCAGGAGGAACACCGGCGGCGAAGGCGGCUUACUGGACUGUAACUGACGUUGAGGCUCGAAGGCGUGGGGAGCAAACAGGAUUAGAUACCCCAGUAGUC
Molecule: ribosomal RNA, 440 nt
Filed under: uncultured bacterium
Lineage: Bacteria
Description: partial 16S ribosomal RNA
Rfam family: Bacterial small subunit ribosomal RNA
Source: RNAcentral